CCACUCAUAGCUCAGUUGGAAGAGCAACUGACUGUAGAACGCCCUGGUGUUCUGAAAGCACCGCUGUCAUCAGUGGGUCCCUGGUUCGAAUCCAGGUGAGUGGA
Molecule: transfer RNA, 104 nt
Filed under: Dishui Lake phycodnavirus 2
Lineage: Varidnaviria; Bamfordvirae; Nucleocytoviricota; Megaviricetes; Algavirales; Phycodnaviridae
Rfam family: tRNA
About the family: Transfer RNA (tRNA) molecules are approximately 80 nucleotides in length. Their secondary structure includes four short double-helical elements and three loops (D, anti-codon, and T loops).
Source: Rfam by way of RNAcentral